RNAcentral lists this long non-coding RNA (1880 nucleotides) under Homo sapiens (human). RNAcentral describes it as "long independently transcribed non-coding RNA 632, transcript variant 6 (LINC00632)". The record is from RNAcentral. Lineage: Eukaryota; Metazoa; Chordata; Mammalia; Primates; Hominidae.
GAGGAGAUGGAAGAUUGAGAGCAGAGUGCAAGAAUGGGAAGAGGGCUUCGUGCCCUGUGCACGUUUGCCACCUAGUGACCAAACUGAGGUUUCCGAUGGCACCUGUGUCAAGGUCUUCCAACAACUCCGGGUCUUCCAGCGACUUCAAGUCUUCCAAUAAUCUCAAGGUCUUCCAGAUAAUCCUGAGCUUCCAGAAAAUCCACAUCUUCCAGACAAUCCAUGUCUUCCGGACAAUCCAUGUCUUCCAAGAAGCUCCAAGUCUUCCAGUAAAUCAAGUCUUCCAGCAAAUCCAGUCUUCCAGCAAUUACUGGUCUUCCACCAAAUCCAGAUCUUCCAGGAAAAUCCACGUCUUCCAGGAAAUCCAUGUCUUCCAAUAAUUUCAAGGUCUUCCAUCAAAUACAGAUCUUCCAGCUAAUCCAUGUCUUCCAGAAAAAUCUGUGUCUUCCACCAAAUCCAAGUCUUCCAGUAAAUCUAGUUCUUCCAGAAAAAUCUAGAUCUUCCAGUCAAUCAGUGUCUUCCAGAAAGAAAUCCAGGUCUUCCAGUCAAUCAGUGUCUUCCAGAAAGAAAUCCAGGUCUUCCAGUCAGUCAGUGUCUUCCAGAAAAAUCUACGUCUUCCACCAAAUCCAGGUCUUCCAGUCAAUCCACAUCUUCCGGAAAAAAUCCAGGUCUUCCAGCCAAUAUAUGUCUUCCUGAAGAUCCACGUCUUCCAGAAAAUCCAUGUCUUCCAGAAAAUCCAUGUCUUCCAGUAACCUCCCAGUCUUCCAGAAAAUCCACGUCUUCCCAACAAUCCAAGUCUUCCGGAUAAUUUGGGUCUUCCUGAAAAUCUACGUCUUCCAAAAAAGCCAUGUCUUCCAGAAAAUCCACAUCUUCCAAUGGCCUCCAGGUCUUCCAGACUAUCCAUGUCUUCCAGAAAAUCCUUGUCUUCCCUUAAAUCUAUAGCUUCCAAAAAAUCCGGGUCUUCCAGGAAAUCCGUGUCUUCCAGCAAGUCCACGUCUUCCAACAAAGCCAUGUCUUCCAGACUAUCCAUGUCUUCCAGAAAAUCCUUGUCUUCCCUCAAAUCCAUAGCUUCCGAAAAAUCCAGGUCUUCCAGGAAAUCCGUGUCUUCCAGCAAAUCCACGUCUUCCAACAAAGCCAUGUCUUCCAUCAAAUUAAUGUCUUCCAGCCUACUUGUGUCUUCCAACAAAGGUACGUCUUCCAACAAAGGUACGUCUUCCAACAAAGGUAUGUCUUCCAACAAAGGUACGUCUUCCAGAAAAUCCACGUCUUCCAACCAAGCCAUGUCUUCCAGAAAAUCCACGUCUUCCAGAAAAUAUAUGUCUUCCAACUAAGCUACGUCUUCCAACAAAUCCAUGUCUUCCUAUAUCUCCAGGUCUUCCAGCAUCUCCAGGGCUUCCAGCAUCUGCUCGUCUUCCAACAUCUCCACGUCUUCCAGCAUCUCUGUGUCUUCCAGCAUCUUCAUGUCUUCCAACAACUACCCAGUCUUCCAUCAACUGGCUCAAUAUCCAUGUCUUCCAACGUCUCCAGUGUGCUGAUCUUCUGACAUUCAGGUCUUCCAGUGUCUGCAAUAUCCAGGUAUUCUAACAUGUUCUAUAGUCCAGAUCUUCCAGCCUUUCCCCAGGUCCAGGCCUUUUCAAAUCUAGGCUUCCCCUGUCUGAGCCUUCCCAUGUUAAAAUCACUCUACAGAAAAAUCUUCCAACUCAACUAUUUCUGCUUCUAGUUGAAUUAGCUUCAAAAACAUUUAAUGGGACAUUCCUCCUUAUAGACCAGAUCUUAUGAACCAACAGUACUGCAGUUUGUGUUUUUUACUAUUAGGAAAUGUGUGUUUAAUCCCUACAACUUUUAAAAGUAAUGUCCAUAAUAAAACUUCUGCAGAAUAAACA